This 863-nucleotide ribosomal RNA is filed under the name uncultured bacterium. RNAcentral describes it as "bacterial SSU rRNA". It matches the Rfam family "Bacterial small subunit ribosomal RNA", at positions 8 to 858 of the family's 1533-position model. The record is from RNAcentral.
AGAGUUUGAUCCUGGCUCAGAGUGAACGCUGGCGUAAGGCCUAACACAUGCAAGUCGAACGGCAGCACAGUAAGAGCUUGCUCUUACGGGUGGCGAGUGGCGGACGGGUGAGGAAUACAUCGGAAUCUACUUUUUCGUGGGGGAUAACGUAGGGAAACUUACGCUAAUACCGCAUACGACCUACGGGUGAAAGCAGGGGAUCUUCGGACCUUGCGCGAUUGAAUGAGCCGAUGUCGGAUUAGCUAGUUGGCGGGGUAAAGGCCCACCAAGGCGACGAUCCGUAGCUGGUCUGAGAGGAUGAUCAGCCACACUGGAACUGAGACACGGUCCAGACUCCUACGGGAGGCAGCAGUGGGGAAUAUUGGACAAUGGGCGCAAGCCUGAUCCAGCCAUACCGCGUGGGUGAAGAAGGCCUUCGGGUUGUAAAGCCCUUUUGUUGGGAAAGAAAUCCAGCUGGUUAAUACCCGGUUGGGAUGACGGUACCCAAAGAAUAAGCACCGGCUAACUUCGUGCCAGCAGCCGCGGUAAUACGAAGGGUGCAAGCGUUACUCGGAAUUACUGGGCGUAAAGCGUGCGUAGGUGGUCGUUUAAGUCUGUUGUGAAAGCCCUGGGCUCAACCUGGGAACUGCAGUGGAAACUGGACGACUAGAGUGUGGUAGAGGGUAGCGGAAUUCCUGGUGUAGCAGUGAAAUGCGUAGAGAUCAGGAGGAACAUCCAUGGCGAAGGCAGCUACCUGGGACCAACACUGACACUGAGCACGAAAGCGUGGGGAGCAAACAGAUUAGAUACCCUGGUAGUCCACGCCCUAAACGAUGCGAACUGGAUGUUGGGUGCAAUUUGGCACGCAGUAUCGAAGCUAACGC